UUUUUUACUCUACCAGUCUGAAUUGGUCUGAAUUAUAUUUGUCAUGAAUCAAACCCACUCUUAACCAGACUCGACUGUGUAUAAUAUGACGUAUUUUUAUGCCCCAUUUAUGGGCAUUAUGUUUUCUGGUCUGUGUGUCCGUCUGUUCGUUCGUCUGUUUGCUGUUCGUCCGUCCGUCUGUCCCGUUUCAAGUUAAAGUUUUAGUUAAAGUUUUGGUUAAAGUUUUUGGUCGAGGUAGUUUACGAUGAAGUUGAAGUCCGAUCAACUUGAAACUUAGUAAACAUGUUCCCUAUGAUAUGAUCGUUCUGAUUUUAAUGCCAAAUUAUGGAUUUUAUCCCAUUUUCACGGCCCACUUAACAUUGAAAAUAAUAGUGCGGAUGGGUCAUUUUUGUACUUGGGACACAUUCUUGUUUUUUCAAAGUUGAUGUUUUUCUGAAACUGUUUUGCAUUUCACAAAUACGGUAUAAUACUUUUACUUUAAAUAUUCAUCCCUUAAUCUUGUUAACUUUGUAUUCACAUUCUAUCAUAGAUCACUUUUAAUCGUUCAGUGUAUGUUAAUCUGUGUUACCACGUUUUUUUGAUUGAGUUAAUCCAUUCCAAUUGAUAUUUUAUAGUGUGUCUUUCUAGCUUGUGAUGUUACACUAUUAUUUCAGAUAAUGGAGACGGUUUGGUACCAUUAAAACGUUUAAUCCCGAUGCAAUUGUUUGCACCUGUACUAAGUCAGGAAUUUGAUGUUCAGAAGUUGUUGAUGUGGUUCAUAAGUGAUUCUCGUUUCUCGUUUUUUUAUAUCGAUUAGGCCGUUGGUUUUCUCGUUUGAAUGGAUUAACUCUAGUAUCUUUGGGGCCCUUUAUAGCUUGCUGUUCGGUGUGAGCCAAAGCUCCGUGUUGAACACCGAACCUUGAAUUAUAAUUAUUUUCUUUUAUUUAUUAUGACUUGGAUGGAGAGUUGUCUCAUUGACACUCAUACCACAUCUUCCAUUCUCGAUCUGUACUCGACCUAUUUUUUCAGUCUAAACCAUACUGGUCGAAAUAAAACUCGACCAGUCUGAACCAUACUUGACCAAAUAACCUCUACUUUUUUAAAUAUUAACUGUUAAAAAGAUUUUCUUUUACCUUAAAAACACACAUAUACUGAGGCAAUUAAACCUUAUUAAGGUGUUUCUUGUUCGGCAUGUGUUUUUUUUAAACUUAAUUUUCCUUAAUUCCUGAAUAAAACUACAGUUUUACAGUUUAGCAGUUUUAAUUAAGACCUCUUCUGAUAAACUUUGGUAAAAUGUGCAUUAGAGGUUCCAUGGAAUAAUGGUUCUCGCCGGCGAUUACUGCUGUCAGUGUAAAAGUGCGUCUAUUUUUCAGUAAAAUACAGAAUUUAAAAAAAAUCACAAAUUUUCAUUGGACAAUCUCUCUUGGUCUUGAAUGUUGGCUACUGUCAAAGUUUCGCAAGGUUACAAAUUCAUUAUAUCAAAAACUUUCAUCCCAGAAUGUCGAAGUCCAUUCUUUCAGAAAAAUACAUUGCUUGAGACAUAGUUUCAGACGACUCUACGAAGGUCUGACGAAGUAUUUGUUGUGGGACAAACUUUAUCCCCAGACUCCAUGUACUUAAAUACCUUUUGAAAAAGUCAAUUUAUCAGCCAACUGAAAAUAUUUUCAGAAUAUGGCUCUGGAUACUGUCUUUUGGUAAUACUAAAAUUUCAUAAAUUUCAACGAAUGUUUGAGUUAUUGAUGACUGAAAAAC
This 1731-nucleotide long non-coding RNA is filed under the name Mytilus galloprovincialis (Mediterranean mussel). The record is from RNAcentral. Lineage: Eukaryota; Metazoa; Mollusca; Bivalvia; Mytilida; Mytilidae.